UCGUCUUCAGCACAACCUGUGGCUUCUUCUUCUUCUAUUCAAAAACAAAAAGGCACAGACACAUAUACAGGAAGAAGCAGUGUCUGUUGCCCCUUCUCCAUCUCCAAAACCGGUGACCCCUCGUCGAAAACCAACUCCUAUCAACUAGAACAGACGUGUUGAACACCAGCCAAUGACCCCGCUUCUGAACAUCCUAAUGCUAGUCAAAAUUUCAGUUUCGUCUCUUGAUUAUGGUCUCAAAGAUGGAGUUUGUCCGGAGCCGAUUUAAGUCACCGUUUGAAGUCUGAGUUCGUCGUUCCGGUUGGAGACAUCUCCACAUGAUGUUUUGGAUUGGUUCGCUGCUAGGAUUUGCAUAUCUAGAUUUGUUUGUACUUUCUAUAAUCAUUUUAAACAUCAAUUGAAAGCUUGAUUUUUAGGUUCAUAAACUAUUUCCCUCGUCUUAUUUAAUUUUAUUAGAUCUCUGUUACUUGUAUUCUGUUUUGCUUUCUUG
This 490-nucleotide long non-coding RNA is filed under the name Nicotiana benthamiana. RNAcentral's name for it is "long non-coding RNA (NBEN_LNC026691)". Lineage: Eukaryota; Viridiplantae; Streptophyta; Magnoliopsida; Solanales; Solanaceae. The record is from RNAcentral.